RNAcentral lists this ribosomal RNA (253 nucleotides) under uncultured bacterium. Its description in RNAcentral is "partial 16S ribosomal RNA". It matches the Rfam family "Bacterial small subunit ribosomal RNA", at positions 524 to 776 of the family's 1533-position model. The record is from RNAcentral.
UACGUAGGGGGCAAGCGUUGUCCGGAUUUACUGGGCGUAAAGAGCGUGUAGGCGGCCAGGCAGGUCUGUUGUGAAAACUGGAGGCUUAACCUCCAGACGUCGACAGAAACCGCUUGGCUAGAGUCCGGAAGAGGAGAGUGGAAUUCCUGGUGUAGCGGUGAAAUGCGCAGAUAUCAGGAAGAACACCUAUGGCGAAGGCAGCUCUCUGGGACGGUACUGACGCUGAGACGCGAAAGCGUGGGGAGCGAACAGG